This 506-nucleotide ribosomal RNA is filed under the name uncultured bacterium. RNAcentral's name for it is "partial 16S ribosomal RNA". It matches the Rfam family "Bacterial small subunit ribosomal RNA", at positions 28 to 523 of the family's 1533-position model. The record is from RNAcentral.
GAUGAACGCUAGCUACAGGCCUAACACAUGCAAGUCGAGGGGUAACGAGAGGAAAGCUUGCUUUCCUUGUCGACGACCGGCGCACGGGUGAGUAACGCGUAUCCAACCUGCCCCCAACUAGGGAAUAACCUUGCGAAGGUAAGACUAAUACCCUAUAAUUUCCUCAGAUGUCAUCUGACGAGGAAUAAAGAUUUAUCGGUUGUGGAUGGGGAUGCGUCUGAUUAGCUUGUUGGCGGGGUAACGGCCCACCAAGGCAACGAUCAGUAGGGGUUCUGAGAGGAAGGUCCCCCACAUUGGAACUGAGACACGGUCCAAACUCCUACGGGAGGCAGCAGUGAGGAAUAUUGGUCAAUGGGCGGAAGCCUGAACCAGCCAAGUAGCGUGCAGGAUGACGGCCCUAUGGGUUGUAAACUGCUUUUAUACAGGAAUAAAGUUAGCCACGUGUGGUUAUUUGUAGGUACUGUAUGAAUAAGGACCGGCUAAUUCCGUGCCAGCCGCCGCUGUAA